Molecule: long non-coding RNA, 935 nt
Filed under: Callithrix jacchus (white-tufted-ear marmoset)
Lineage: Eukaryota; Metazoa; Chordata; Mammalia; Primates; Cebidae
Description: lncRNA (ENSCJAG00000082983.1)
Source: RNAcentral
CUGACUAAUUUGACAAGUCCACGUGUCAAUGAGAUGAGAAUAGAGAACAAAGUACAGGAACGAGGUGCAGGUACAAGGGAAAGAAUGAAAGAGGCAUUUCAAUAAUUUUAAAAGUAUAAUUUGUUGUUAUAUCUAGGGACUUGUUUUGCAGCCAAAAGAAUCAAGACACAUUCGAGAUCACGUGAUGUAGCUGAAAGUGUCGGGUUGGCAAUACACAGAAAGACAUUUGAGAACCAGUUUUGUUUCUUCUGUCUUCUAGAAAUUCGGUCAACCAUGGUUCACAGAUUAACAUGAUCUCCAGGAAGCCAGCAUGUCCUUGCCCAGCUAGACUCCCAGAGACCUGCUGCGUGCCCACCAGCUUCUUGUCUCUAGGGAUAGAAGAUGGUGGGAGCUGGAGACAAGCAGGGCAGCUGGCAGAUUUUGCAAUAUGCAGAAGAUCCCCUGGCCCUCCCUCUGUGGCUGAAUUUAUGGGUAAAAAACAAACAGGAGCUUGGAAGCCAGGUAAGACUCGCCUUACUUCUUUCUCCAAGUAUUUUGGACUCAGCAUGGCUCUAGGUGUUACAGGAAGUAAUGACACCCAAGAUUGGGCCCCUGCCUUAAACGACCUCAGUUAAGGGGCUAAAUCCAUUCCACACCAAACAAUAUGAAAAUAUGGGAGGUGCUUCAGGUCUGGCAUGCUGCCAGCUAUGCACGCAGUAGGAGAUGUCCCUGGGUCUUGGUGUUUGGGAAUGGGCAUCAUACUGACCAGCAUCUAAAGGUUGUUCCACUGCUAUCAGUACAGCAUCGGAGAUGGUCCUCUGGCCCACUGCACCUGAGUUUUGUGUCCAGAAUGAACAGGGCAGCCUGAUUCCAGGGCCCCUAUGAGGACAGGAAGCACUUUAGGGUGUCAGGAAGACAGGGACCCAUCUGUUCUGUGCACAGCCACAACCCUGGUA